Molecule: ribosomal RNA, 735 nt
Filed under: uncultured bacterium
Lineage: Bacteria
Description: bacterial SSU rRNA
Rfam family: Bacterial small subunit ribosomal RNA
Source: RNAcentral
AAGUCGAACGGGCUCUUCGGAGCUAGUGGCGGACGGGUGAGUAACACGUGAGAAUCUGCCUUCAGGACGGGGACAACAGCGGGAAACUGCUGCUAAAACCCGAUGAGCCGAGAGGUAAAAGUAUUAAUAGCCUGAAGAUGAGCUCGCGGCCGAUUAGUUAGUUGGUGGGGUAAGAGCCUACCAAGGCGGCGAUCGGUAGCCGGUCUGAGAGGACGAUCGGCCACACUGGGACUGAGACACGGCCCAGACUCCUACGGGAGGCAGCAGUGGGGAAUUUUCCGCAAUGGGCGAAAGCCUGACGGAGCAAGACCGCGUGCGGGAGGAAGGCUCUUGGGUCGUAAACCGCUUUUCUCUGGGAAGAAGAUCUGACGGUACCAGAGGAAUAAGCCUCGGCUAACUCCGUGCCAGCAGCCGCGGUAAUACGGAGGAGGCAAGCGUUAUCCGGAAUCAUUGGGCGUAAAGCGUCCGCAGGUGGCAUAGCAAGUCUUCUGUCAAAGAUUGGAGCUUAACUCCAAAAAGGCAGGGGAAACUGCCAAGCUAGAGAGCGGUAGGGGUAGAGGGAAUUCUCGGUGUAGCGGUGAAAUGCGUAGAGAUCGGGAAGAACACCAGUGGCGAAAGCGCUCUGCUGGACCGCGACUGACACUGAGGGACGAAAGCUAGGGGAGCGAAUGGGAUUAGAUACCCCAGUAGUCCUAGCCGUAAACGAUGGAAACUAGGUGUUGUUCGUAUCGACCC